UUUCUUCCUUGGACGCCGAGAGGGUUGGUCGUGUCCGAUGAUUCUCAAUCAUUAUUGAAUUCCUACGGUAUUGCCGCUUUGGAAACCCAAUACACUGCAGAUUUCUGGAUGCAUUGUUGAAGAUGGCCUUUUAGAUCUAAAAUCCAGUGGAUGCGACAUCUACAACAUGCAUGGUUUGCCACUUUUGACAUGAAGAGGAUAGGAGGGGGCAAUGUUGGCCCAUAAAUGUAACGCAUCAAAAAAUACUUGUAACCAAGGCGACAACAGAAAACAACAUUGAGUAUCAGAUAUGAGUGAGACAAGUACGUGCAACUUGCAUUUGUUUAAAACGCCUUGAAACUAUAUACAUACAUGUAUGGACUAAUAAAAUCUAUAGCCUGCAGUUUAUAUUAUAUUUCAUCUGCAAAAUCCGAUAUCUAACCACAAAAACAAUACAUAUAAUAACAAAACGGAACA
Molecule: long non-coding RNA, 456 nt
Filed under: Mizuhopecten yessoensis (Yesso scallop)
Lineage: Eukaryota; Metazoa; Mollusca; Bivalvia; Pectinida; Pectinidae
Description: uncharacterized LOC110447564, transcript variant X1
Source: RNAcentral